CCCUUAGAUGUUCUGGGCCGCACGCGCGCUACACUGAUGCAUUCACCAAGCCUAGCCUUGACCGAGAGGUCCGGGUAAUCUUUGAAACUGCAUCGUGAUGGGGCUAGAUUAUUGCAAUUAUUAAUCUUCAACGAGGAAUGCCUAGUAAGCGUGAUUCAUCAAAUCGCGUUGAUUACGUCCCUGCCCUUUGUACACACCGCCCGUCGCUCCUACUGAUUGAGUGUCUCGGUGAAUUCUUUGAUCUUCUGUCGAUUCAGUUCACUGAUCCGACGGUGGAAAGUUGAAUGAACUUCGUCACUUAGAGGAAGGAGAAGUCGUAACA
This 322-nucleotide ribosomal RNA is filed under the name uncultured eukaryote. RNAcentral's name for it is "partial 18S ribosomal RNA". It matches the Rfam family "Eukaryotic small subunit ribosomal RNA", at positions 1470 to 1796 of the family's 1831-position model. The record is from RNAcentral.